ACUCUUUCCCUGUUGCACUCCUGUGGGUCGCGGGGGCAGUGCAAUGAUGAAAGGGCAU
This 58-nucleotide microRNA precursor is filed under the name Echinops telfairi (small Madagascar hedgehog). RNAcentral describes it as "Ete-Mir-130-P4a_pre stem-loop". Lineage: Eukaryota; Metazoa; Chordata; Mammalia; Afrosoricida; Tenrecidae. The record is from RNAcentral.